RNAcentral lists this ribosomal RNA (253 nucleotides) under uncultured bacterium. Its description in RNAcentral is "partial 16S ribosomal RNA". It matches the Rfam family "Bacterial small subunit ribosomal RNA", at positions 524 to 776 of the family's 1533-position model. The record is from RNAcentral.
UACAGAGGGUGCAAGCGUUAAUCGGAAUUACUGGGCGUAAAGCGUGCGUAGGUGGUUUUUUAAGUCAGGUGUGAAAUCCCUGGGCUCAACCUGGGAACUGCAUUUGAUACUGGAAAGCUAGAGUGUGGUAGAGGAUGGUGGAAUUCCCGGUGUAGCGGUGAAAUGCGUAGAUAUCGGGAGGAACAUCGGUGGCGAAGGCGGCCUUCUGGACAGCGACUGACGCUGAGACGCGAAAGCGUGGGGAGCAAACAGG